Molecule: non-coding RNA, 72 nt
Organism: Phrynosoma platyrhinos (Desert horned lizard)
Lineage: Eukaryota; Metazoa; Chordata; Lepidosauria; Squamata; Phrynosomatidae
Source: the annotation of a GenBank genome assembly
GCCAGCAUGGCAUAAUGGUUUGAGUGCUGGACUACAACUCUGGAGAUCAGGGUUCAACUACCAGCUCAGCCA